This 253-nucleotide ribosomal RNA is filed under the name uncultured bacterium. RNAcentral's name for it is "partial 16S ribosomal RNA". It matches the Rfam family "Bacterial small subunit ribosomal RNA", at positions 524 to 776 of the family's 1533-position model. The record is from RNAcentral.
UACGUAGGGUGCGAGCGUUGUCCGGAUUUAUUGGGCGUAAAGGGAGCGUAGGCGGCCAUUUAAGUUCGGUCUUAAAGACUGGGGCUCAACCCCAGGAAUGGAUUGAAUACUGGGUGGCUAGAGGAUGUCAGAGGAAAGUGGAAUUCCGAGUGUAGCGGCGAAAUGCGUAGAUAUUCGGAGGAACACCAGUGGCGAAGGCGACUUUCUGGGACAUUCCUGACGCUGAGGCUCGAAAGCUAGGGGAGCAAACAGG